RNAcentral lists this long non-coding RNA (7189 nucleotides) under Nicotiana tabacum (common tobacco). Its description in RNAcentral is "long non-coding RNA (NTAB_LNC006328)". Lineage: Eukaryota; Viridiplantae; Streptophyta; Magnoliopsida; Solanales; Solanaceae. The record is from RNAcentral.
UUUUCAUAGCCUGGCUGAGUGAUUCUCAGAAGUGAAAUAGAGCAGCUAUUUAUAGGGAACAUACUAAGAACUAUAGGAAGGUGUAAGAAGAAAUUAGUGGGGCCUUAAUAUCUUUGGCACUUGACAUGAGUGCUAAAUCCUUUUUGAUUCAUAAUAGAGCAGAAGUAUAGAAGUCAACCGUAGUGAAUAAAGAAUAAAAGCAUCUCAUCCCCACACAAUUAAUUUAUCUUAUUUUACCUCUUAAUUCCUUGUACGACUUAUUCUUGCCUGUUUUAUUGUUUUUCUUCUAUUUCCUUAUAUAUAUCUCCAUUAAUAGAGAAAGUUUGAGUUGGAUAGCAGCACGUAAUCUAGAAAAAAGAUCUUGAACAGAAGCAUUAACAGUGUAAUUGAUUGAUUUGAUUUCUACAUUUGAUUUCUACACAUGCAAAAUAAAGAAUCCGCAGAACUUUAACAUGCCGCCAUGCCCAUUCCGCGUCCUGUGACUAUACAUGGAAUCUGCAGCAGUAACAUGGCUGAAGAUCUUUUAGAUCAUAUUCUUGAUUUCCUAAUUGAGCCCCCAUAUUAUAUUGCCUACGCUCCAGUUGGCAUAGGCAUGCGGGGGUGUGGGAUAUACCACAUCAGCGGAGCAUCUUUGUACAAUCCUUAUCUCUUGAAUUAGUUCUUCAGGUUGAAUUAGCAUCAAAAUCUACUUUCCUUAACCACAAGGUUUGCAUUUAUUGUUGUUUGAACCAUAUUAGUCCUUAUUGAGUGUUGAUAACAUCUUACUUUGGCUCACAAAUCCAUACCAAUAAUUACUGGCAUAUAUAUAUUUACUUUUGCCAGCUAUUUAUUGUUGUGUUUGAUUGUUUUGAGCAAAAGUUUUUGGAAUAAGAUGUCUCCUUUCCUUGAUCACCGACUCCAAUCAAACGUAGCUACCACCUGUAUGAAUAUUAUUUGGUUAGUUGAUUCAAUUCUCAAAGAUUGGAACUUAUCAAGAAUAACAAUAAUAAUAUAACAGUAACAAUAGUAUCAAAGAUAUGAUGCUGUAAAUAAUCUCAGUUAACAGUUUUCUGAUGAGAAUGAGUUAUCUUGAAAUAUGUAUCAUUCAAGAUAUAUAUAAACAUCCCUUCGCCAAAAUUGAAUUAUUAUACCGGUCAUUGUUGGCGGGAUAGAAUUUUCAUCAAGAGAUUUGAUAUUUAUUAUUAUUAUAUAGAUUAAAAAGAAAACCUUAUAUAUAUACAAUGUAAUUUUCUUACCCCUUCUGUCCUUCUAGUUUCGCACCCUAUUGUUUGUGGAAAUGACUUUGUUUUGGAUUCCAAAGAAAGAAGAUCAUUUACAUGCAAUUUUCCUUUAUUUGAUCUAUUAACAACUAUCAUCGUCCUUGUUUCAACACGUUGCACAUUUAAAUACGAGGAAUAACAUAUAUUAGAUGUUUCAUGUAUUUCACUCACAAAAUUUCAAACUUUUUAAUUUUUUUUUUUUUUUUUUUUUACUUACUACACUUCAAAAAAAAGCUCAAUUACCCUUACACAUUGAUUUCUUUAAUUUGCACAAACUUUUUUCUCCAAAAUCUUAAUUUGAAAACGUUUUCCAAAAGUUGUGCAUCUGAUUCUUAUUUUAAUGAUUGAUUUUUUUUACAGCCAAAAGCCAAGUUAUGGGAUGCGGCAUAGUGACUGGUUAUAUUCUCCGCAUGUGGCAAAAUGAUAUACCACUACAUUGUGAAGCCUCUAUUCAAGAUAUGUGAAUUUUAGAUAUAAAUUGAAGUCCCCUUUUGUCUAUACUUAUUGAGAUAAUGAAAUAGAAACAAUCAUAGAGGGCGGAGUUAUUCGUACAAGGAAUACGUUAAAUAAGAUUACUAUAUUGGGUGAGGAUGGAAUUCUUUUACACUUUAUUCUCGAGGAUUGAGUUCUUUCCUCUACGAGACAAAACUCCUUUAUCUUCUUUAAUUUGGCUUUGUAAUUGUUGACAUGAGCAUUAUAGGUUUUGAUGAUUGACAAAAAAAUACAUGUAUGGAUCAUGUUCAUGGACACUGUACACAAGUCACGAUCAGAAUCAAGUAAAAGAUAUACACGUACAAGGGAUAAGUAUAAGUGGUUAUUUCUGAUAAUUCCUGAAUGAAAAGAUUGCAUAUUUGAUAAGGAGCAUGACUCCUUACGUGAAGAGAACUCUAUCCAAGAUAAGGAAAGAGUUAAAAGUUGAAGUUAACUAAAACUCUUCCACCAAGGAAGAAUAAAACAUCCGACUUCUAGUUAUCCUCUAUUCUACUCUCUAUAAAUAUAAGUGUUAUUCUCUUUUACAAGGAUCACACACAUACUGAAGUUAAGCAAAAAUUAAGAGCAAAAUAGCAAGACAUUUUGUGUGCAAUUCAUGUGAGAUUCAAGGGUGCGAACCUGAAGCUACAUGAACCAGACUGAAAAACCAGUUCCAUGUGUCUGUCUUUAAUUCUAGUUCAAAUGUAGUACAAGAUUUUGAGUGGUACCUUUUAGCUUUCUUUAAAAGCAUUUGUACUAGGUACUUGCAUUGUCUUAAUCAAGUUAGAGUUAACUUGAAGUAAUCGCAAUAGCUCGUGGGGUGUAGCUACGAGGGUUAGACUCAUGCUCGUGGAGCAAACAGUGACUGCACUCGAUCUUGUGUGUGUGUGUUAUAUUCUUUUUGAUGACUGGCAGACCCAUUAAUGUGGGUGAGAUCAUGCUCGGUGAGAUGGCCCGCACGCGAUUUGGGCGGCAGAUUAGGAGGUUCUUCUUCGGCAACUCGCUCACGCAAUAUAUGCUUUCCCGAGGGGUGCCGGAGUACCCAGGGUAUGUUAAGGUGGUGGAGGUGCCUACAGGACUAUUGGACAUCACAUACUUGUUGGAGAUGUCGAUUACGCUCACUCAGGCAGCACGGAACGAACGAGAUGAUAACUUCAACAGUUACCUCUAUAACUCUUUAAAUUUACUCAUGAGAAAGGCUGGUAUUUCAGACGAGGAGCGUAUGCAUUUACGCAAUGACUUGUCGAGCUCGUCCAAGGAGAUGUUGGGGAUUACACCUGGCAGCCCAGUUCACUCGUCGGAGGACGCAAACACUAUCAAGAGCUCAAACACAGAGGAAGAUGUGGAUGAUGAUGUUACGAGGGCCUUGGCUUUGGUGCCUCUAGGACCUGAUGAUGAUGUGCCCGGCGCUGCGGAUGGAGUGCAUGCUGAGGAGGAGGACUCCGACUAACAGGGAGUUUUCUUUUCACCCUACUCUAUUUUACAUUUUUAUAUGUAUCAGGGACUAUGCAUAAUAUAAGUGUGGGGUGGGAGGAAUACUACUUGUGAUGUACUUGUAUAAAUUAUAUCACUUUGUUUCUUUUACUAGUUUUACUUAGUCUAGUUUUAGUCUAGUUUGUUUUUACAAAACAAUUUAGAAAAAACUCGAACUUUUCCCGACGAUAGAUCUUUUGGACAAUUUUCUUGAGGGAUAGAGUCUGAUUAAAAACACCAAAAAAGAUUUUUUUUAAGGAUAGUUAGGUAGUAUACCUUGUUUUUUCUUUUAGCGUCGGUUCUUUUUCAAGGGUGUAGCUUGAACCGGGUACUUAAUUUUUUUUUUUGAGUAGGUUAGGAAGAAACUGAGUUGCUUUGAGCUACUUAGUGACAUGUUUAGUACUGGUACAUUAGGUUAUGACAUACAUUCUAUCUUUCCGUAUAUUUGGUUUGAAUUGUGACGCCUAAGUAAAGUAAAUAGCCUAUUUUGUGAUGCUUUUCCUCAGUUGUUUGACUUGUAUGCCACAUAGUGCAUUAUUGCUUGAAUUUUCUCAAUUAUGUGUGCUUGCGUGACUUGAGAGUUAAACAGAACCUUCUUGAUUGAGUCAUGUGCAAUGUGUGUGUGAGGAGUUGUGAUCUUCCGUGCUAUCUUGUGUAAUCUAGAACUUACCCCGUGUAUUAAUCGAAGCGAAAUUGUUAAGUUAUGAUAAUUUAGGAGAUGGCGUAGGCGUUUCUUGCUUGAUCAUAGAUGUGCUUGUCACAUAAAAAUAAAAAUUUUCGUUGCUAGCCCCCUUGAGCCUAUAGACCUUUCUUUUGGCACCCAUAUUAUAAGCCAUACCCCUAUUUUGUUCUUAAUUUAAGAUUGUUGAACCUUUACCUCUUAAGGCAUUUAGUCUCUAAAAGAAGUAACGUGAGAGAUUUGGGGAGUAGCUUUCGAAUGGAACCAUGGAAGGGAUUUUUGGUGCACUAAAGUUGACAUCAAAAGUCACUAGCCGAUGAACUUUAAUGUAUGGAGUGUGUGAAGAAAAAAAAAAGAGAGAAAGAAAAAAAAAAUUGCAAGAAAAGAGAAAACAAAUGAUAGUCAAAGUAUGUAGAAAAAAGUAUACAUCUUCAAAUCUUAUUAAUUUGUGCUAGUGGGAGUAUAGAAGUGCUUAAUGAAAGUAAGGGCUAUAUUGUGUAUGGGUUGUGGCAAGUGAAUUAGUUGAGAAGAAUAUGGGCUCGAAUUGUGAGUGUAGUGUAUUAAAGUGCUUCGGAGGGUUAGUCACUAUUUCUAAAUAUAUCAUACUUGUCCCUUAGCCUACGUUACAACUUUAAAGUCCUAAUUGAUCCUAGAUUUAGCUAGCUUAGAUUAGUAGAGAUGUACAUUACGGGCAAGCUUAUGGUACGACCACGGGAUGUAUAUGAAUUCUUUGUGAGAGUGAGCGAAUUUUGUUCAAUUGUGUGAUGUCCUUAAUUUAUAUUCAAAAGCAUGUUUGAAUGUGUGGAUUAAUCUAUAUUCAUUCUUUUAAUGUCGGUAAGGGCACAUGAUCUCAUGAAUGAUUGGUAAUGUUGUAAACUUUCUUGUUGGGCGAGUACAAGAGUUGAGGGUGCUUAGUGGUAACAAGUCAAUUUUUGAGGUUGGGUGGUUACAAAUAGGUUGUUGGAAUUGAUUGAAUUGAAAUGUUAUACUUGGGCAUGAUUAAAACGGGAAGAAUGCGAUAUUUUGUAUGUUCAGGCUUGAUUGCCGGUACUGAUCAUAGUCAAGGGUAGAGUGUAUGGUUAAAAGUUGAAGUGCUCCUCUGUAGUUGAGAUUUGUACGUAAUUGGGGGUAUAUUUGAUAGUCUCAUUGCUCGAGGACGAGCAAGAGUCUAAGUAUGGGGUGUUGAUGUUUAGCUUAAAGUAUAUAUAAUUAUAUGUAUAUCGCCUCAUGUUUUACUAUUGUUUCGUGGAUUUAUGAUGUAAAAUAUGUUAAUUUAUAUUAAUUCGAGAUGUUUUUAUGUGCAGGAAUGAUCCGGGAGCAAUUAGGGGCAAAAGAUGCGAAAUUAGAGCCAAAACGGACGAAAAAAAGGAAAGGGGCAUUUCCAGCGCCACAGGUAGCUCCCUACGCUACAUGUGGCACCCCAGACAAAACGUGAAAUUUACUAGUGCCAGGGACGACGCCUAGCUCUGGGAUAGACACUGGUGACGGGAUUUCUAUCCAACUUUGCCCGGGACAAUGUUAUUUCGUCCCUAAACCUACCCAAUACCUAUAAAAGUAAGACUAAGCUUAUUUUUAAGGGAUAGACGCCACUUUGAAGGGAGAAUGCACACGAGAAACAUUCGGGAGCAAAGAGAUCUCAGUUUUCUUCAUCUUUUCUUAGUAUUUUUAAUUAUCCAACACUUAUGAAAUUGUUUGCUAGUAUCAUGAGUGGUUAAAAUCUAUAGUUCUGGGGUUAUAAUUUAGCCAUGAAUAUUGUUGUUUAACGUUGGCUUAACCUUGAUUUCAAUUCACUAAUAUAUAGUUAUUUCUUCUAUUCUGUGAUUAAUUGCUUAAUUGUCUGGCCAUCAGUUAGAUUCUAUUUACUAUCUAUGCUAUGCUUGGGAAAGCCAUGUUUAGAUUAGAGAAGAAUUGAAGAGAGCAUGAUCUUAACUCUUAAGGGGGACGGAUUUGUAGUUAGGAUAGGAAUAUACCUAGUCACCGUGCUUAUUUAAUUAUCGUAAUCUUAAUGCAUUCUUAAUAGAUUGAUUCUAUAGGAAUAUAGACGUUAAUCUAUUUUGAAUAGGCGAGUAGUACUUCGGGAGAAGGCUAUGAGAGCAAUUAUCGAUUAAUUAGCAACCAUGAGUGAAUUGUAUGAAAGGGAGAGUUAACUAGAACACAAUAGGAUUGGUGAAUCGAUCACAAUCCUGGAAUAUUUGUCUCUAUUGAAUACAUAACAAUCAUUUUACUGGUUGAUAAUUUAGUUACUACUUAGAAUUAUAGUUUAGUAUAAUCACAUUCUUGAACUCGAAUUUGGCUUGACUGAAUAACAAUUUUGGUAAAUUUAGUGGGUAGUUGAUACAAGUCUCUGUGGGUUCGACACUCGACAUAUCAUUUUAUUACUUGUACGACCACGUAUACUUGCGUGUGCGUUUGGGAGUGACACUUAUUGACAAUCAAACAGGUUAAAUUCUAAAUCCUAUAAAUAACACAUUUCAAAAGUUGCAUACUUGUAAACAUCACCAACCAUAUCACAACUCCAGAAAAAUAGUUUUCAAACACAUAAAGCACAUCUACAACAAAACCAAUUUGAAUUUGGAAAGAAAAAAAUUUAAUAUUCAAUACUAUGAAGAAAACUAAAAAUCUGUUUAUACUUUAGUUGUGCUCUUUGAACAAUCCUAAAAUAUUACCUUGAGAUUGAUUCAAACAUAACGCAGAGCAGAAAGAGAAAAAACAGCCAGUGACAAUUGUGUCUUCUCUGAAGGUCCCCAAGAGUUCUAAAAUACAUAUGCAAAAAGAAAUAUUUCAAUUAAGACCCAAAUCACAGAAAUUAACCUACAAAAUACACAAAAAUUCUGAAUUUUACAACCUAUAAUACCUAAUACAGAAGGAGAAAGAGGACUUACAUCUCGAUUUCAAUAAAAAGUGUUAUAUCCUUCUUCAAAAUAUACCGAUUAUACCAAAUUUCUAUUACUUUCUGCUGAGAAUCGCAAAACAUCAAGAUGAAAGAAAGAGAAAAAAUCAGGAAAGGGAAAACACAAAUUAACAGAGAAAAAAAAUUUAAAACCCACAUGCAAGAAGAAAGAAAGACAGAAAAGCAAAAUCAAAGAAUGGGGAAGAGGAAUUACCAUAGAUCUGAAGUUUGAUUGUAGAAAACUAUUUCACAUGUUCUCCUUUACAAAUCUCUUUCAUUUGUAUCUGAAACAUGCGUGGUUUUUUUUUUUAAUUUGAAGCUGAAAAUGAGCGAGAGGGAGAGAGACGGGUAGCUGAAAAUGAGAAAGGGGUUAAGGAAAAAAGGAGAGGGAAAAGAUUAAAAAAUGAAGGAAAAUUU